GUGCUCACUUUUCAGCACAUAAACUAAAAUUAGAAUGAUACAAAGAAGAUUAGCAUAGCCCCUGUGCAAGGACGACACACAAAUCCUGAAGUGGUUCAUAGUUUGU
This is a small nuclear RNA of Pipistrellus kuhlii (Kuhl's pipistrelle), 106 nucleotides long. The record is from RefSeq and is a predicted model, not a curated record. Lineage: Eukaryota; Metazoa; Chordata; Mammalia; Chiroptera; Vespertilionidae.